Molecule: ribosomal RNA, 778 nt
Filed under: uncultured Neocallimastigales
Lineage: Eukaryota; Fungi; Neocallimastigomycota; Neocallimastigomycetes; Neocallimastigales
Description: partial large subunit ribosomal RNA
Rfam family: Eukaryotic large subunit ribosomal RNA
Source: RNAcentral
CCAUCACUACGCUAGAUGCAUAUCAAUAAGCGGAGGAAAAGAAACUAACAAGGAUUCCCUUAGUAACGGCGAGUGAAGCGGGAAGAGCUCAAAUUUGAAAUCUUCAAGGUUCUACCUUGACGAAUUGUAGUUUAUAGAAGUGUUUUCUGUUAGUGGAGUGGCAAAAGUUCUUUGGGAUAGGACAUCAUAGAGGGUGAGAAUCCCGUAUUUGGUCAUUCCUCCUAGCGUUGUGAUACACUUUCAACGAGUCGGAUUGUUUGGGAAAUGCAGUCCAAAAUGGGUGGUAAAUUUCAUCUAAAGCUAAAUAUUGGUGAGAGACCGAUAGCGAACAAGUACCGUGAGGGAAAGAUGAAAAGAACUUUGAAAAGAGAGUUAAACAGUACGUGAAAUUGUCAAAAGGGAAGCGUUUGACACCAGUGUUGUUUUCUCGAAAAUCAAUUAAAAAUGAUGGGAUUUUGUGUUGUAUUGACCUUUAUCAAGCUUUCUUCACUUUUUCUUAGUCUUUUUUAAUGCACUUUUCGUUUAACAAGUCAACAUCAAUUUCUUUUGUUGUAAAAGAGUCAUUGGAAGGUGGCUUUUUCUUCGGAAAAAGUGUUUAUAGCCUUUGGCUUCUGCAAUCGGAGAGAUUGAGGUCUGCAGCGUAGAUCCUUCGGGGUUAGAUACAUUUGUGCUAAGCUAUAGUUCUUUAUAGACAAUUUGUUGACUAUAAUCAAUCCUGUAACUUACUCGCUUAUGCUAUUUUACCUACGCUUAGGAUGUUGACACACGCGCGUGCUCG